UCUACACGCGAAGUGUUCACUGAGGUGAGGAGGGAGGAACAUUGUCGAAAAGUGAUGAUGAAGACGAAGAAUAUCGACGACGUGGAGAUGGUCCACUGGAAUUAGAGCUUCUGGGCAUGAUACUGGGUCUUCAACAAAUGGGCUAAAGUCAUCUUAUGGGCCAUGUACUAUUGGACCAGACUUUAAUAAUGUCGGGCCUUUUGCUGGAUUGGGCAAAUGAGCUGUUGGGUCUUCUAAAUUCGAACUGAAUGGAUUUGCCUGGAUUUACAAAUUCAUCAAAAGGAGCUAUACACGUGAUGGGCCAAAAACACCAAAAUGGACGGCUGUGAUGUGAACACUGUCGAAAAUCGGGACACAAAGAAGAUACUUGUUGGGACAUACAUGGGAAGCCCACAAAUUGGAAAUUGAGACCAAAUGUUAAAACCGUGGCUACCAAGUCUUGGCCGAUCAAAUAGGAAACUCCAAAGAAACAAAAAGUGGAGCAUUCAGCAGCAAGCAAUCAGAACAACUCUACCAGAUAUUUUCAAGCCUUCAAACUCCAAGUCAUCCUUCCACGCACAGUCCUUCGAGUUCAUUAGCC
Molecule: long non-coding RNA, 580 nt
Filed under: Olea europaea subsp. europaea
Lineage: Eukaryota; Viridiplantae; Streptophyta; Magnoliopsida; Lamiales; Oleaceae
Source: RNAcentral